RNAcentral lists this ribosomal RNA (209 nucleotides) under uncultured bacterium. RNAcentral describes it as "partial 16S ribosomal RNA". It matches the Rfam family "Bacterial small subunit ribosomal RNA", at positions 328 to 538 of the family's 1533-position model. The record is from RNAcentral.
ACGCUCGACACCUACGGGGAGGCAGCAGUUGGGAAUAUUGGACAAUGGAGGAAACUCUGAUCCAGUGACGCCGCGUGAAGGAAGAAGGUCUUCGGAUUGUAAACUUAUUUUGUCAGGGAAGAAAAAAUGACUGUACCUGAAGAAAAAGCACCGGCUAACUACGUGCCAGCACGCCGACGGUAAUCUGAGGCGGGCGUGGGACGAAGGGC